GACGAACGCUGGCGGCGUGCUUAACACAUGCAAGUCGAACGGAAAGGCCCCUUUGGGGGUCCUCGAGUGGCGAACGGGUGAGUAACACGUGAGUAACCUGCCCUUGACUUCGGGAUAACUUCAGGAAACUGGGGCUAAUACCGGAUAGGAAUCCUUGCUGCAUGGUGGGGGUUGGAAAGCUUCGGCGGUUUUGGAUGGACUCGCGGCUUAUCAGCUUGUUGGUGGGGUAGUGGCUUACCAAGGCUUUGAUGGGUAGCCGGCCUGAGAGGGCGACCGGCCACAUUGGGACUGAGAUACGGCCCAGACUCCUACGGGAGGCAGCAGUGGGGAAUAUUGCACAAUGGGCGGAAGCCUGAUGCAGCAACGCCGCGUGCGGGAUGACGGCCUUCGGGUUGUAAACCGCUUUCAGCAGGGGCGAAGCUUGUGGUGACGGUACCUGCAGAAGAAGCACCGGCUAACUACGUG
Molecule: ribosomal RNA, 465 nt
Filed under: uncultured bacterium
Lineage: Bacteria
Description: partial 16S ribosomal RNA
Rfam family: Bacterial small subunit ribosomal RNA
Source: RNAcentral